RNAcentral lists this unclassified non-coding RNA (383 nucleotides) under fungal sp. RNAcentral describes it as "partial internal transcribed spacer region". The stretch from base 1 to 46 matches the Rfam family "Eukaryotic small subunit ribosomal RNA", at positions 1786 to 1831 of the family's 1831-position model. The record is from RNAcentral. Lineage: Eukaryota; Fungi.
AAGUCGUAACAAGGUUUCCGUAGGUGAACCUGCGGAAGGAUCAUUAACACGUAUCCAACGUUAAAAACCCCGUGAACCUUUAUUCGCCGCUCCCAUGGCUCAGUCGCGUAAAGCUAGCAAUCCCUGUACUCGUCCGAGAAAUGAAGGAGAAGGGACUUCUGGCAGUGCACCGUGGUUUCAGAGCGCUUGGUUAGUGGCUUGUUUUUCCCCAAGCAAUCAGUGGGUGACAGUGUCAUUGAUUGUGUAAGGAUUUCGCUUAGCGAUCACUGGAGGUCGAUUCCCUCCCCAACCCCACUUCCUAUUGCCGCUCCGCGCUAACAACGCCGGGCAUUUAAAAACGUACUAAACAACUGUUAAUGUUAACAAUGGAUAUCUUGGUUCUC